AGAGUUUGAUCCUGGCUCAGAUUGAACGCUGGCGGCAGGCCUAACACAUGCAAGUCGAGCGGAUGAAGGGAGCCUGCUCCUGGAUUCAGCGGCGGACGGGUGAGUAAUGCCUAGGAAUCUGCCUGGUAGUGGGGGAUAACGUCCGGAAACGGGCGCUAAUACCGCAUACGUCCUGAGGGAGAAAGUGGGGGAUCUUCGGACCUCACGCUAUCAGAUGAGCCUAGGUCGGAUUAGCUAGUUGGUGGGGUAAAGGCCUACCAAGGCGACGAUCCGUAACUGGUCUGAGAGGAUGAUCAGUCACACUGGAACUGAGACACGGUCCAGACUCCUACGGGAGGCAGCAGUGGGGAAUAUUGGACAAUGGGCGAAAGCCUGAUCCAGCCAUGCCGCGUGUGUGAAGAAGGUCUUCGGAUUGUAAAGCACUUUAAGUUGGGAGGAAGGGCAGUAAGUUAAUACCUUGCUGUUUUGACGUUACCAACAGAAUAAGCACCGGCUAACUUCGUGCCAGCAGCCGCGGUAAUACGAAGGGUGCAAGCGUUAAUCGGAAUUACUGGGCGUAAAGCGCGCGUAGGUGGUUCAGCAAGUUGGAUGUGAAAUCCCCGGGCUCAACCUGGGAACUGCAUCCAAAACUACUGAGCUAGAGUACGGUAGAGGGUGGUGGAAUUUCCUGUGUAGCGGUGAAAUGCGUAGAUAUAGGAAGGAACACCAGUGGCGAAGGCGACCACCUGGACUGAUACUGACACUGAGGUGCGAAAGCGUGGGGGAGCAAACAGGAUUAGAUACCCUGGUAGUCCACGCCGUAAACGAUGUCGACUAGCCGUUGGGAUCCUUGAGAUCUUAGUGGCGCAGCUAACGCGAUAAGUCGACCGCCUGGGGAGUACGGCCGCAAGGUUAAAACUCAAAUGAAUUGACGGGGGCCCGCACAAGCGGUGGAGCAUGUGGUUUAAUUCGAAGCAACGCGAAGAACCUUACCUGGCCUUGACAUGCUGAGAACUUUCCAGAGAUGGAUUGGUGCCUUCGGGAACUCAGACACAGGUGCUGCAUGGCUGUCGUCAGCUCGUGUCGUGAGAUGUUGGGUUAAGUCCCGUAACGAGCGCAACCCUUGUCCUUAGUUACCAGCACCUCGGGUGGGCACUCUAAGGAGACUGCCGGUGACAAACCGGAGGAAGGUGGGGAUGACGUCAAGUCAUCAUGGCCCUUACGGCCAGGGCUACACACGUGCUACAAUGGUCGGUACAAAGGGUUGCCAAGCCACGAGGUGGAGCUAAUCCCAUAAAACCGAUCGUACUCCGGAUCGCAGUCUGCAACUCGACUGCGUGAAGUCGGAAUCGCUAGUAAUCGUGAAUCAGAAUGUCACGGUGAAUACGUUCCCGGGCCUUGUACACACCGCCCGUCACACCAUGGGAGUGGGUUGCUCCAGAAGUAGCUAGUCUAACCGCAAGGGGGACAAUUACCACGGAGUGAUUCAUGACUGGGGUGAAGUCGUAACAAG
RNAcentral lists this ribosomal RNA (1492 nucleotides) under uncultured bacterium. RNAcentral describes it as "16S ribosomal RNA". It matches the Rfam family "Bacterial small subunit ribosomal RNA". The record is from RNAcentral.